UUUCCGUAGGUGAACCUGCGGAGGGAUCAUUACAAGUGACCCCGGUCUAACCACCGGGAUGUUCAUAACCCUUUGUUGUCCGACUCUGUUGCCUCCGGGGCGACCCUGCCUUCGGGCGGGGGCUCCGGGUGGACACUUCAAACUCUUGCGUAACUUUGCAGUCUGAGUAAACUUAAUUAAUAAAUUAAAACUUUAAACAACGGAUCUCUUGGUUCUG
RNAcentral lists this unclassified non-coding RNA (217 nucleotides) under plant metagenome. RNAcentral's name for it is "partial contains small subunit ribosomal RNA, internal transcribed spacer 1, and 5.8S ribosomal RNA". The record is from RNAcentral.